This 84-nucleotide transfer RNA is filed under the name Actinomycetes bacterium. RNAcentral's name for it is "tRNA-Tyr". It matches the Rfam family "tRNA". Rfam says of the family: Transfer RNA (tRNA) molecules are approximately 80 nucleotides in length. Their secondary structure includes four short double-helical elements and three loops (D, anti-codon, and T loops). Further hydrogen bonds mediate the characteristic L-shaped molecular structure. tRNAs have two regions of fundamental functional importance: the anti-codon, which is responsible for specific mRNA codon recognition, and the 3' end, to which the tRNAs corresponding amino acid is attached (by aminoacyl-tRNA synthetases). tRNAs cope with the degeneracy of the genetic code in two manners: having more than one tRNA (with a specific anti-codon) for a particular amino acid; and 'wobble' base-pairing, i.e. permitting non-standard base-pairing at the 3rd anti-codon position. The record is from RNAcentral. Lineage: Bacteria; Bacillati; Actinomycetota; Actinomycetes. RNAcentral also lists the same sequence under 2 other names.
GGGUCAGUGCCCGAGCGGCCAAUGGGAUCUGGCUGUAAACCAGACGCGUAAGCUACGGGGGUUCAAAUCCCUCCUGGCCCACCA